UACGUAGGCAGCAAGCGUUGUUCGGAAUUACUGGGCGUAAAGAGUGUGUAGGCGGUGCUCUAAGUCUGUCGUGAAAUCUCCCGGCUUAACUGGGAGGGUGCGGCGGAAACUGGAAUGCUAGAGGGUGGGAGAGGAAAGCGGAAUUCCUGGUGUAGCGGUGAAAUGCGCAGAUAUCUGGAGGAACACCGGUGGCGAAGGCGGCAUCCUGGACCAACACUGACGCUGAGGAGCGAAAGCCAGGGGAGCAAACGGG
This 253-nucleotide ribosomal RNA is filed under the name uncultured bacterium. RNAcentral's name for it is "partial 16S ribosomal RNA". It matches the Rfam family "Bacterial small subunit ribosomal RNA", at positions 524 to 776 of the family's 1533-position model. The record is from RNAcentral.